RNAcentral lists this ribosomal RNA (117 nucleotides) under Ipomoea nil (Japanese morning glory). The record is from RNAcentral. Lineage: Eukaryota; Viridiplantae; Streptophyta; Magnoliopsida; Solanales; Convolvulaceae.
GGAUGCGAUCACCAGCACUAAUGCACCGGAUCCCAUCAGAACUCCGAAGUUAAGCGUGCUUGGGCGAGAGUAGUACUAGGAUGGGUGACCCCCUGGGAAGUCCUCGUGUUGCAUCCC